This 301-nucleotide ribosomal RNA is filed under the name uncultured bacterium. RNAcentral describes it as "partial 16S ribosomal RNA". It matches the Rfam family "Bacterial small subunit ribosomal RNA", at positions 509 to 807 of the family's 1533-position model. The record is from RNAcentral.
CAGUCGCCGCGGUAAUACAGAGGGUGCGAGCGUUAAUCGGAUUUACUGGGCGUAAAGCGUGCGUAGGCGGCUUCUUAAUUCGGAUGUGAAAUCCCUGAGCUUAACUUAGGAAUUGCAUUCGAUACUGGGAAGCUAGAGUAUGGGAGAGGAUGGUAGAAUUCCAGGUGUAGCGGUGAAAUGCGUAGAGAUCUGGAGGAAUACCGAUGGCGAAGGCAGCCAUCUGGCCUAAUACUGACGCUGAGGUACGAAAGCAUGGGGAGCAAACAGGAUUAGAUACCCGAGUAGUCCCUGUCUCUUAUAC